GGGCCCGCACAAGCGGUGGAGUAUGUGGUUUAAUUCGAUGCAACGCGAAGAACCUUACCAGGGUUUGACAUCCUGCGAAUCUCUUGGAAACAGGAGAGUGCCUUCGGGAACGCAGUGACAGGUGGUGCAUGGCUGUCGUCAGCUCGUGUCGUGAGAUGUUGGGUUAAGUCCCGCAACGAGCGCAACCCACGUCGUUAGUUGCCAGCAUUUAGUUGGGCACUCUAGCGAGACCGCCGGUGAUAAACCGGAGGAAGGUGUGGAUGACGUCAAGUCAUCAUGCCCCUUACAUCCUGGGCUACACACGUGCUACAAUGGUUAGGACAAAGAGUUGCGAGUUCGUGAGAACCAGCU
Molecule: ribosomal RNA, 351 nt
Filed under: uncultured bacterium
Lineage: Bacteria
Description: bacterial SSU rRNA
Rfam family: Bacterial small subunit ribosomal RNA
Source: RNAcentral